RNAcentral lists this transfer RNA (84 nucleotides) under Desulfococcus multivorans DSM 2059. It matches the Rfam family "tRNA". From Rfam's summary of the family: Transfer RNA (tRNA) molecules are approximately 80 nucleotides in length. Their secondary structure includes four short double-helical elements and three loops (D, anti-codon, and T loops). The record is from Rfam by way of RNAcentral. Lineage: Bacteria; Pseudomonadati; Thermodesulfobacteriota; Desulfobacteria; Desulfobacterales; Desulfococcaceae.
GCCGAAGUGGCGGAACUGGUAGACGCGCUAGGUUCAGGGUCUAGUUGCCGUACGGCAGUGGGAGUUCGAGUCUCCCCUUCGGCA